GAUGAACGCUGGCGGCGUGCCUAAUACAUGCAAGUAGAACGCUGAAGCUUGGUGCUUGCACCGAGCGGAUGAGUUGCGAACGGGUGAGUAACGCGUAGGUAACCUACCUGGUAGCGGGGGAUAACUAUUGGAAACGAUAGCUAAUACCGCAUAACAGUAGAUAUUGCAUGAUAUCUGCUUGAAAGGUGCAAUUGCAUCACUACCAGAUGGACCUGCGUUGUAUUAGCUAGUUGGUGAGGUAACGGCUCACCAAGGCGACGAUACAUAGCCGACCUGAGAGGGUGAUCGGCCACACUGGGACUGAGACACGGCCCAGACUCCUACGGGAGGCAGCAGUAGGGAAUCUUCGGCAAUGGACGGAAGUCUGACCGAGCAACGCCGCGUGAGUGAAGAAGGUUUUCGGAUCGUAAAGCUCUGUUGUAAGAGAAGAACGAGUGUGAGAGUGGAAAGUUCAC
Molecule: ribosomal RNA, 455 nt
Filed under: Streptococcus sp. oral taxon 061
Lineage: Bacteria; Bacillati; Bacillota; Bacilli; Lactobacillales; Streptococcaceae
Description: bacterial SSU rRNA
Rfam family: Bacterial small subunit ribosomal RNA
Source: RNAcentral